UGCAUCUGGAGCCUGCGAGGAUGAGAACCUCCGGGGGCAGGAGGUUCGACUCGAGCGAAGCGAGAGAACGUUGCGUCAGCAACGGCCCGCAGGGCGAGCCACGAAGUGGUGAGUCAUCCUCUAUCACCGACCA
This 133-nucleotide small RNA is filed under the name Klebsiella pneumoniae. RNAcentral's name for it is "RtT sRNA". It matches the Rfam family "RtT RNA". From Rfam's summary of the family: This family represents a bacterial cis-regulatory element known as RtT RNA. The exact function of RtT is unknown although it is thought that it may be involved in changing the cellular response in relation to amino acid starvation. RNAcentral also lists the same sequence under 2 other names. The record is from RNAcentral. Lineage: Bacteria; Pseudomonadati; Pseudomonadota; Gammaproteobacteria; Enterobacterales; Enterobacteriaceae.